Molecule: ribosomal RNA, 496 nt
Filed under: uncultured bacterium
Lineage: Bacteria
Description: partial 16S ribosomal RNA
Rfam family: Bacterial small subunit ribosomal RNA
Source: RNAcentral
AUGAACGCUGGCGGCGUGCCUAAUACAUGCAAGUCGAGCGAACGGACGAGAAGCUUGCUUCUCUGAUGUUAGCGGCGGACGGGUGAGUAACACGUGGAUAACCUACCUAUAAGACUGGGAUAACUUCGGGAAACCGGAGCUAAUACCGGAUAAUAUUUUGAACCGCAUGGUUCAAAAGUGAAAGACGGUCUUGCUGUCACUUAUAGAUGGAUCCGCGCUGCAUUAGCUAGUUGGUAAGGUAACGGCUUACCAAGGCAACGAUGCAUAGCCGACCUGAGAGGGUGAUCGGCCACACUGGAACUGAGACACGGUCCAGACUCCUACGGGAGGCAGCAGUAGGGAAUCUUCCGCAAUGGGCGAAAGCCUGACGGAGCAACGCCGCGUGAGUGAUGAAGGUCUUCGGAUCGUAAAACUCUGUUAUUAGGGAAGAACAUAUGUGUAAGUAACUGUGCACAUCUUGACGGUACCUAAUCAGAAAGCCACGGCUAACUACAUG